AAAGCAUACAUACAGAUUACUCAACAUAGGAAUAGAAUCCAAACAAACACAAAAUACCAAUAUUCAAUAAAUAUCUUUACAAACUCUCACAUUUAAUUAGGUUACAAGUCAAUGGCACAAACUUUCUCACUCUUUCCAAAUACAUACUGUACGAUGACAUGCUUAAUCAUAUUACGAGUUUUCAAGAAAAAUGUCCGAAAAUUCAUGGCAUUUACAUUUACUGCGACCCAAGAAGAGCAGAAAACAACAUGGACAACAAGGAAAAACAAAUAAAACCAGAAUUGAACCCUUUUUGCGAGGCCAAAAUCAUCGACACAGACGGGACAAUAGUAGUUUCAUUAUCAGCAUGAAUGAAACAAGAGCUGAACCAAGUUGCUCCGAACCAUUCAUCAUUGAAGAAAAAUUACAUCAAUUGUUCUAUAGUAAUACAAGGAACCAAAUACGAUGACACCGAAUUAUUCCAUGAAGAAAAUAUGAAAUUAACCUUUCCUAAAACCUAUCAAAAACCUAUCAAAAACAAUAAAUACAACGUUGGAAGAUCUGAGCCUGAGCAAAAUGUUACUACACUUUGGCUAUACUUCAGCAAAAUAAAACCAAAAUAAUUCCAGAAUCUUUAAUUCCUGACCUACACAUCCUACCUAACCCUGCUACCGCGAUCAACUACGUUCCGUCCAUACCAUCAAAUACCAACGAAGACAUUCCUCAAAUCUGCAGGACUUAAGCUAACUGUCAAACCGGAAAGAAAUAAAGAACAACUGGAAUUAAA
This is a long non-coding RNA of Drosophila teissieri, 766 nucleotides long. RefSeq lists it as uncharacterized. The record is from RefSeq and is a predicted model, not a curated record. The transcript has 3 exons. NCBI's taxonomy places the organism in Eukaryota, Metazoa, Arthropoda, Insecta, Diptera, Drosophilidae.